UAACAUUUUGAUUAUGGGUGUCA
This 23-nucleotide non-coding RNA is filed under the name Arabidopsis thaliana (thale cress). Lineage: Eukaryota; Viridiplantae; Streptophyta; Magnoliopsida; Brassicales; Brassicaceae. The record is from RNAcentral.